Molecule: ribosomal RNA, 252 nt
Filed under: uncultured bacterium
Lineage: Bacteria
Description: partial 16S ribosomal RNA
Rfam family: Bacterial small subunit ribosomal RNA
Source: RNAcentral
UACGUAGGCAGCAAGCGUUGUUCGGAGUUACUGGGCGUAAAGGGUGCGUAGGCGGCUUUUUAAGUUUGGUGUGAAAUCUCCCGGCUCAACUGGGAGGGUGCGCCGAAUACUGAGAAGCUAGAGUGUGGGAGAGGAAAGUGGAAUUCCUGGUGUAGCGGUGAAAUGCGUAGAUAUCAGGAGGAACACCGGUGGUGUAAACGCUUUCUGGACCAUAACUGACGCUGAGGCACGAAAGCGUGGGUAGCAAACAGG